RNAcentral lists this transfer RNA (88 nucleotides) under Azoarcus sp. RNAcentral describes it as "tRNA-Ser". It matches the Rfam family "tRNA". From Rfam's summary of the family: Transfer RNA (tRNA) molecules are approximately 80 nucleotides in length. Their secondary structure includes four short double-helical elements and three loops (D, anti-codon, and T loops). Lineage: Bacteria; Pseudomonadati; Pseudomonadota; Betaproteobacteria; Rhodocyclales; Zoogloeaceae. The record is from RNAcentral.
GGAAGGGUGGCAGAGCGGUUUAAUGCACUUGUCUUGAAAACAAGCGAUGGGAAACCAUCCGCGGGUUCGAAUCCCGCCCCUUCCGCCA